AGCGAACGCUGGCGGCAGGCCUAACACAUGCAAGUCGAACGAACUCUUCGGAGUUAGUGGCGGACGGGUGAGUAACACGUGGGAACGUGCCUUUUGGUUCGGAAUAACUCAGGGAAACUUGUGCUAAUACCGAAUGUGCCCUUCGGGGGAAAGAUUUAUCGCCAUUAGAGCGGCCCGCGUCUGAUUAGCUAGUUGGUGAGGUAACGGCUCACCAAGGCGCCGAUCAGUAGCUGGUCUGAGAGGAUGACCAGCCACACUGGGACUGAGACACGGCCCAGACUCCUACGGGAGGCAGCAGUGGGGAAUCUUGCGCAAUGGGCGAAAGCCUGACGCAGCCAUGCCGCGUGAAUGAUGAAGGUCUUAGGAUUGUAAAAUUCUUUCACCGGGGACGAUAAUGACGGUACCCGGAGAAGAAGCCCCGGCUAACUUCGUG
This 433-nucleotide ribosomal RNA is filed under the name uncultured bacterium. RNAcentral describes it as "partial 16S ribosomal RNA". It matches the Rfam family "Bacterial small subunit ribosomal RNA", at positions 29 to 507 of the family's 1533-position model. The record is from RNAcentral.